GGACUACUGGGGUAUCUAAUCCUGUUUGAUCCCCGCACUUUCGAGCCUCAGUGUCAGUUACAGUUUUGUGAGCUGCCUUCGCAAUCGGUGUUCUAUGACAUCUCUAUGUAUUUCACCACUACAUGUCAUAUUCCGCCCACAGCAACUGUACUCAAGCCCUACAGUAUCAAUGGCAAUUUCUGGGUUAAGCCCAGAGAUUUCACCACUGACUUAUAAGGCCACCUACGCUCCCUUUAAACCCAAUGAAUCCGGAUAACGCUUGCAUCCUUCGUCUUACCGCGGCUGCUGGCAC
This 292-nucleotide ribosomal RNA is filed under the name uncultured bacterium. Its description in RNAcentral is "partial 16S ribosomal RNA". RNAcentral also lists the same sequence under 1 other name. The record is from RNAcentral.